Molecule: ribosomal RNA, 279 nt
Filed under: uncultured bacterium
Lineage: Bacteria
Description: partial 16S ribosomal RNA
Rfam family: Bacterial small subunit ribosomal RNA
Source: RNAcentral
UGCCAGCAGCCGCGGUAAUACGGAGGGUGCAAGCGUUGCUCGGAAUCACUGGGCGUAAAGCGAACGCAGGCGGCUCUGCAAGUCGGGUGUGAAAGCCCGGGGCUCAACCCCGGAAAUGCACUCGAAACUGCAGGCCUUGAAUACGGGAGAGGAGAGCGGAAUUCCUGGUGUAGAGGUGAAAUUCGUAGAUAUCAGGAGGAACACCGGUGGCGAAAGCGGCUCUCUGGCCCGAUAUUGACGCCCAUGUUCGAAAGCGUGGGUAGCAAACAGGAUUAGAUA